This 1141-nucleotide small RNA is filed under the name Pan troglodytes (chimpanzee). RNAcentral describes it as "retained intron". Lineage: Eukaryota; Metazoa; Chordata; Mammalia; Primates; Hominidae. The record is from RNAcentral.
GCCUCCCCGGGAGCCACUCACCUGUUUGCUUUCUCACCCAGUCCUCCUCAUGCAGAAGUACCGGCGGUGCGGCUUUCCGCGGCUGUGGGCAGCCAGUGCCUUCAAGGGUGCCACGGGGCCCAGCCAGGCCGUGCCCCCUGUUGAGCACCACCUCAGGAACCAUGUGCAGUGGCUGCAGGUGGCGGGCAGCGGGCCCACGGACUCACUGCAGGGCAUCAUCCUGACCGGCUGGCAGAGGUACGACCACUACUCUGUGCUGUGCGAGCUGCUGCCCGCAGGAGUCCCGUCCCUGGCCGCCUGCCUGCAGUUGCUUCUACGCGGUAUGUCUGGUCUGGCCACCCCAAGCCCCACCGGCCCCUCCCCGAAAGACCCGGAGGGCAGGAGGCCAAGCACCCAGUGCUCCAACCACCCUGCUGGACUGUGGUGGUCCUCACAGUCGGAGGAUGGUCUCACCGCCCCAGCUCAGCCACCCACCUGCCCUGAAGUCCACCCAGGCUGGGCCUGUGUCCGGGUCUCCAGGCCUAAGCCCAAAGCAGGCUGGAGAGUGACGCGGGAAGCACCCCUCAGACACAGUGAAUCCGCAGAAAUGCACGCAGGUCGGAGGUGGGGAGCGGCUCCACCUUUGCUGCACACACGUCCUGCCCACCUGGCUGAGCAGGUGUGGGGCUCAGGUGCUCGGCCCUGGAAGGCCCCGCACCCUGGACCCAGCACUCACACUUCCAGGUCUCCUGAGGGAGCAGCGGGACCCAUAGGCAGGGGCAGGCACCGGGGAACCCCUCGGGGUCGGCAGGGGGCUUGGCCAGAGGAGCUGUGUGUGUGGAAACUCGCAGGCCACACAGGAAAUUAGCGACUGCGUGGUGCUGACGCAGAAAGAAAAAUGGCCGAGACGCGCGGAGAGCGGGACCCGCAGGCGCGGUGGCCCAGGGACGGGGACGCGGCCGGUGAGAGGACGCAGAAUGAGAUCAGAUUGACUUCUCAGUUGCUGACUCUCAACUGCUUAGAAAGGGGCAGAAACAAUAAAAACAGACACCCAUGUGCCCCACACUAAAGAGCUGUGUUAAUAUUGACAGUAUUUGCAGUGUCCCUUGCCCACGGCCCCAUCCGCCACCCCUGUGACUGGGGCACUUCCCUCCUGCCCUCU